RNAcentral lists this ribosomal RNA (434 nucleotides) under uncultured bacterium. RNAcentral's name for it is "bacterial SSU rRNA". It matches the Rfam family "Bacterial small subunit ribosomal RNA", at positions 29 to 510 of the family's 1533-position model. The record is from RNAcentral.
ACGAACGCUGGCGGCAGGCCUAACACAUGCAAGUCGAACGCUCCAGCAAUGGAGAGUGGCAGACGGGUGAGUAACGCGUGGGAACCUUCCCUAUGGUUCGGAAUAGCUCAGGGAAACUUGAGGUAAUACCGGAUAAGCCCUUCGGGGAAGGAUUUAUCGCCAUUGGAUGGGCCCGCGUAGGAUUAGCUAGUUGGUGAGGUAACGGCUCACCAAGGCGACGAUCCUUAGCUGGUCUGAGAGGAUGAUCAGCCACACUGGGACUGAGACACGGCCCAGACUCCUACGGGAGGCAGCAGUGGGGAAUAUUGGACAAUGGGCGCAAGCCUGAUCCAGCCAUGCCGCGUGAGUGACGAAGGCCUUAGGGUUGUAAAGCUCUUUUGGCGGGGAAGAUAAUGACGGUACCCGCAGAAUAAGCUCCGGCUAACUUCGUGCCA